This 253-nucleotide ribosomal RNA is filed under the name uncultured bacterium. Its description in RNAcentral is "partial 16S ribosomal RNA". It matches the Rfam family "Bacterial small subunit ribosomal RNA", at positions 524 to 776 of the family's 1533-position model. The record is from RNAcentral.
UACGUAGGGUGCGAGCGUUAAUCGGAAUUACUGGGCGUAAAGGGCGCGCAGGCGGCUCUUCAAGUCAGGCGUGAAAGCCCCGGGCUUAACCUGGGAAUUGCGCUUGGGACUGGAGGGCUUGAGUACGGGAGAGGAGAGUGGAAUUCCCAGUGUAGAGGUGAAAUUCGUAGAUAUUGGGAAGAACACCGGUGGCGAAGGCGGCUCUCUGGACCGUAACUGACGCUGAGGCGCGAAAGCGUGGGGAGCAAACAGG